This 478-nucleotide ribosomal RNA is filed under the name uncultured bacterium. Its description in RNAcentral is "partial 16S ribosomal RNA". It matches the Rfam family "Bacterial small subunit ribosomal RNA", at positions 28 to 507 of the family's 1533-position model. The record is from RNAcentral.
GAUGAGCGCUGGCGGCGUGCCUAACACAUGCAAGUCGAACGGAGUCCAGCCUUUAAGACCUUCGGGUCAAAGAGGGGAAGACUGAGUGGCGGACGGGUGAGUAACACGUGGGCAACCUGGCUCAUAGAGGGGGAUAACAGAGAGAAAUUUCUGCUAAUACCGCAUAAGCACACACUGCCGCAUGGCAGAGGGUGAAAAGAGAAUCGCUAUGAGAUGGACCCGCGUCUGAUUAGCCAGUUGGCAGGGUAAGAGCCUACCAAAGCGACGAUCAGUAGCCGAUCUGAGAGGAUGAACGGCCACAUUGGGACUGAGACACGGCCCAAACUCCUACGGGAGGCAGCAGUGGGGGAUAUUGCACAAUGGGGGGAACCCUGAUGCAGCGACGCCGCGUGAGUGAAGAAGUAUUUCGGUAUGUAAAGCUCUAUCAGCAGGGAAGAUAAUGACAGUACCUGAAGAAGAAGCCCCGGCUAACUACGUG